RNAcentral lists this ribosomal RNA (158 nucleotides) under Colletotrichum sp. RNAcentral describes it as "5.8S ribosomal RNA". It matches the Rfam family "5.8S ribosomal RNA". Rfam says of the family: 5.8S ribosomal RNA (5.8S rRNA) is a component of the large subunit of the eukaryotic ribosome. It is transcribed by RNA polymerase I as part of the 45S precursor that also contains 18S and 28S rRNA. Lineage: Eukaryota; Fungi; Ascomycota; Sordariomycetes; Glomerellales; Glomerellaceae. RNAcentral also lists the same sequence under 2 other names. The record is from RNAcentral.
AAACUUUUAACAACGGAUCUCUUGGUUCUGGCAUCGAUGAAGAACGCAGCGAAACGCGAUAUGUAAUGUGAAUUGCAGAAUUCAGUGAAUCAUCGAAUCUUUGAACGCACAUUGCGCCCGCCAGCAUUCUGGCGGGCAUGCCUGUUCGAGCGUCAUUU